ACCCAGACUCCUACGGGAGGCAGCAGUGGGGAAUAUUGGGCAAUGGGCGCAAGCCUGACCCAGCAACGCCGCGUGAAGGAAGAAGGCUUUCGGGUUGUAAACUUCUUUUCUUGGGGACGAAGAAAGUGACGGUACCCAAGGAAUAAGCCACGGCUAACUACGUGCCAGCAGCCGCGGUAAUACGUAGGAUGCGAGCGUUAUCCGGAUUCAUUGGGUUUAAAGGGUGCGCAGGCGGGCCUUUAAGCCGGCGGGAAAAUCGCGGGGCCCAACCCCGCCGAGCCGUCGGAACUGGGGGCCUUGAGUGCGGCGGAGGCAUGCGGAAUGCGCGGUGUAGCGGUGAAAUGCAUAGAUAUCACGCAGAACUCCGAUCGCGAAGGCAGCCUACCGGCGCGCAACUGACGCUCAUGCACGAAAGCGUGGGUAUCGAACAGGAUUAGAUACCCUCGUA
This 448-nucleotide ribosomal RNA is filed under the name uncultured bacterium. Its description in RNAcentral is "bacterial SSU rRNA". It matches the Rfam family "Bacterial small subunit ribosomal RNA", at positions 329 to 792 of the family's 1533-position model. The record is from RNAcentral.